Molecule: ribosomal RNA, 251 nt
Filed under: uncultured bacterium
Lineage: Bacteria
Description: partial 16S ribosomal RNA
Rfam family: Bacterial small subunit ribosomal RNA
Source: RNAcentral
GAUCAUGGCUCAGGACGAACGCUGGCGGCGUGCCUAACACAUGCAAGUCGAACGGAAGUUAGAGCUUCGGUUUUAACUUUAGUGGCGAACGGGUGAGUAACGCGUGAGGAACCUGCCUUUCAGUGGGGGACAACAGUUGGAACGACUGCUAAUACCGCAUGAUGGCUUUUUGGGAGACAUCUCCUGGAAGCCAAAGCUUUAAGUGCUGAAAGAUGGCCUCGCGUCUGAUUAGCUAGUUGGUGAGGUAACGG